AUUAUAUAAAAUCAAGUGUGAAGAAUUUAGUAUGGAAAUGUCAAAUACCAGUUAAAUGUUAGCCAUCAUUACUGUCCUCAGCAAUCAUUAUAAAGCUUCAAAUUUAUGAUUAUUUUCUCAGAAUAGGAUCAUAUAAGUGAAAUCCCAGGGCUCAUUUAAAAAACCCUGCUCUCUAAGUUACAAGUAGCAAAAAACAUUCUUGGCUCUUUUCCAGUCCCUAUUCUGAUACUGGGAGCCCAAUGUGGUUCAUCAGGUUUUGCUCUGAUGCCUUGGUCUGAUGCCUCUGAGAGCUCCCUGGCUCUAUGCUUCCCAUUCUCUCCAACUAACCCCAUCAGUCUUGUGAUUUCUCUCCUACUGGGAGAUGGACUGUGUAGCCUUGGAUAAAAACAGUGGACAAAAAGAGCAAUGAGUGAUAAUGAAUGUUAUUCUUCCUCAUAGGUAACAUAGCUGCCUUUUCCUAUGGAUCGCUAAUGUCUAAACACAGAGAAUUGGAAUAUGGGGUCUUCGGGAUUCUCUAGAAAGUCCAAUUGGGAAAAAUUGUUGGUAUUUGUGUGUUCAAAUCUACAGACCAAUUUGCAUGUAGUUAUGUUGCCUGAAUUUCUUAACAGGGUGGACAAGGUCCUCUGUUCUUUAUCCCUAUAUACUUCUCCAGCUUUGUCUCUUGCUACCACCACCCUGCAAUGUGAUGCUAAAAUCAUACAGCUGUUCUUGCUGUCUUCUCAAAUGUGCCAUGCCUUCUCUCCCACAAGGCUUUGCACAUCAUGUUCUCCUGCCUUGAACCCUCUCUGCUUACCCCUGCCUCCUUCAUUUGGCUAACUCGUACUUAUGAUCCAGGCAUCCUCUUGAACACUACAUCUUCCUGGAAGUUUUCCUGUCCCCAUGUCGGAGUUUGGUGCUCCAUGGUUAAGCUCCCAUGGCACCCUGUCAUUACCCUUACUGGAUCUAAAUUGCCUGUUUAUUCGCCUUCGUCCUGAUCACACCAUGUGGCAGCCAUGGGGCCGCAUCGCUUUGAUCUCCCUUCAAGGAAGAACUGGCUAUUUAGCUGCAAGGAGUGCAGUUAGCUGACAGCUUCCAGCUGUUAAUGCCUUCAAGCUCUGCCUCAGCUUUCAAGCUGAAGCCAGGAUCUUUUUGGGUGGCCCCAGCCAAUGACUGAGUAUCACAGUGGCACCAGGGCCAACUCAGGACUCCUUUAGCAGGAAAUCUUUGGGUUGGCUGAGACUUCAUCAGAUCUCCACUGUGGUCUGAGGCUCUCUCUUCCUCAUCCUGCCUCCUCCCUCUUUCCUUUGACAGUUGUCAUAUCUGCUUUUUGGCAUAAGAGAUUCCCCUGUCCAAUCCUGCUUCCUCAGCUUUUCAUGUUCACAGCUUACUUUUCAAUGAUCCUCCUGAAAUCCUUCCUUUGUCACCUGCAUGUGCUUUCUGGAGAAUCUGAGUAACACCGACAAUGAGCUCUUUAAAAGUAGAAACUUCAUUCUUGUUCAAAUUGUACCUUCAGCUCCCAGAAGAACACACAGUAGGAUCUCAAUAAAUAUCUAUGAAAGGAUUGAAUGAAUGAAUGAACACUUAAGAUAGUGUUCAACAUUGAAUGAUGUUUUGAUCUUAUAUAAUUCACAGGUGCUGGUCAACAGUCAAGAACAUUCUGAUUUGAAGACUCAGAAUCGUUUAUAAAAUGCACUGCAAAAUGACAUAAUUACACAUUUUUCAAACACACAGAGGAGAAAACACACAGAAGGGGAGGAGGCAACAUGGCCACAGAGGCAGAAAUUGGAAAGAUGCAGCCACAAACCAAGGAAUGCUGGAGCUACCAGAAGCUGGAAGAGGACGCUGAAAGUCAUCCCUGCAGGAGGGCAAGAAAUACAAAAGAAAUGCAGGUCCUUUCCAGCAAGAAAUUUUUAUUCACGGCAUGGUCGGCUAGACGCAUAUCUGCAUUUGGAAAAGGAAGAGGCAGAGGCAGAAGACUACAUCUUUUCUGUUGACCAUGAGUGGUAGCAAGCCUGCUUCAUCACUCAUAGACUUCAGAGUUAACGGAGGCAAAAAAUUUCACCUUCUGAAGGGAGGUGGCCAUAUAAAAGAAUGGACACAGUAAUGGGAUAAAGAUGCUACAAUUGAGUUCUGCACAGAGUGAAGUGGAGCCCAGAAGAGUGACUCCAUCUAUAAAUGGAUCUCCAAAUGUUAAUAAGGACCCGCACAAAUGCGGCCACUUCCUUCCCUUGUAAAUUACAGCAUGGAGCCAGUUUUAUGGUGAUUAUUUCUUUCCAUGUUGGUUUUUCCUCCUGGAGUGGGAGUCCCUAGAAGGCAGGGGCUGGGUGGCACAUAUAGGAAAAUCUUUACAGAAAACAGAAGGUACCAAGAUGAGCAAGCAGGGUGGAGCUUCUGUAUCUUCCACUAGGGGUCAGUAAAACUUUUAUGAGAAUCCUACGAUGGCAUCUGGACUUAGAGAAGGGCAAUUUCGUUGUCACCCUUUGUCCCUCAGAAAACACCCACAAGAGGCUGUCCUAUCACCGAAAAGGAGCUCUUGUUCCAAGUUGUUAAACACACAUAAAAAGCACAGCCAAGUAUGACUUAGACUAGCAUGUCAGUAUAUCAAACAACAGAAUUAACAUCAGAGACAAAAGUCUCAGCUUAAAUGCACAGUUUUGACAAAUACUAAACAUUCUAUCUUGCCUAAUGGGCAAUCACCGGCUAACUGUCCAGUGAGUAGGGCUAAUUAUCUUGACUCUGGUUAUCGUAGUGUCUGUAUCAUAAAAAUAAGAUUUGAAGUUUCCCUUCUCCUUAUGACUUGCUAUCCUGGUUUGCAAUAGUGCUUAUUGUAACAUUAUACAGGAAUGUAGAUGGAAUUUAUUAGAAACAAAGACUUUUGAAAAUACGUACUAGAUAAAUAAACUUGACUCCCUGCCCUACCAACAGCUAGGGUGAGUUGUUAAAAAUUGAAAUCAGAUCAUAUCAUUCCCCUACUUGAAAUCCUCCAAGGCCUUCCCACUCCUAAAAUCAAAUCCAACACAUCAUCCCGCCUGUGAUGCUAGGGCAUGCCAAGCUUCCUGCAACUUCUCAGAUCUCAUCUCCUGCCUCUUGUUCCUGCAUUCAUUAUAUUCCUGCCGCAGUUACCUUAUCUGCUGAUGCUUUAACUCAGCGGUUAUCAAACUGGGGGAUCUGCAGCAUCAGCCUUGCAUGGGAAGUUGUUAGAAUGCAAAUUCUUGGGUCACACCCCAGAUCUAUUGCAUCAGAAAUUCUGAGGGUGGGAUUCAGCCCAUCAGGUGAUUCUGUUGCAUGCUAUAGUUUGAAAAACACUAUUCUAAUUCUUCAAACUCCUUUCUGCCUUAAGAUCUUUGCCCUGGCCAGAUCCUGGGCCUGGUACACUCUUCCCAAGGUUCCUUUCUCAUCAGUCACAUGGCAGCUGCUGAAAUGUUAGCUUAUCACAGAGACCUACAUUGACCAUCCUGUUUAAAGUAAGCCUCCUUACUCUUCCUCAUCCCAAUCUAUGCCAUUAUCCUUUUCAUUUCUCCUUAGAACUAUCUGAAAUGAUCUUGCUAAUUUAUUUACUUAUUAUUUUAUUUUUA
Long non-coding RNA from Sapajus apella (tufted capuchin), 3554 nucleotides. RefSeq lists it as uncharacterized. Lineage: Eukaryota; Metazoa; Chordata; Mammalia; Primates; Cebidae. The transcript has 5 exons. The record is from RefSeq and is a predicted model, not a curated record.